AACUACCUCCUGCGACAAAACAUAAUUGAUCAGCAUAUAAUUAUGGUGAUACAUAGAGUCGAGAUGUGUAUAUCGUUGGCGAAGCUCGCAGUGGAGUUCGUUCUCUCCGUGGCGGAAGCUGUCCACGUCGUUCAACGAGACACCAUCGCCGGCGGCGGCGGCGGCGAUGACGUUGUCCUUCUCUUGCCGCAGCUCCGCCGUCCUAGCUACGCUUACUUCAGCGGCGGCGCCCCUUCUUCUUCUGCCGUUUCGGUUCCUUUGGUUGGGUUCCUUCCUUAAAGAGAGAACAAAAAAGUAUUAGUUCAUUUCUUCCUCCUCCCGGAGAAAAACAACGCCGCCGCCGCCGCCGACAAACCGACAAAAGCCCCAGCUGGUUUUAAUUUUCUCCGGUUCGUUGACUUUUCUUUUUUGGGCGGUAUACGGUACUAUAUAUGUACUGUUCACGAUGUAUGUAUAGACGUAUUCUUUAGAGUGAAAAAAAUUAAUGUUAAAAAGAGUCGGCUGCUAUUCUCCUUUCAUCUGCGGUCGGUACUCCAUCUCCUUGCCGCCGGCCGACAACACUUCACCUCUUCAUCGACGGCAGGCUAUAUUGCUUCUUCUUCUUCCGUCUAUGUUCGAAGAACUUCCGAUUUCGCUUCGUUUUAUAAAUUUUCAACGAUUGAGAUUGAAUGGGUGAUUUGAAAAAGAGAAUCGUUUUACGAUAAGACAAAAAUCAUUUGUCUCACCAUUUACGAACGCAACGAGGACAGCCCAAGUAGGAUCUCGGUUGGUCAAGGUCGGAGUUGCCGCCGUGGUUGUUGUUCUCGCUACUGCUAACUGACUCUUUAAUGUCGAAGUUGGCCGCCGUGCAGUUGUCUUCAACCGGCUUAAUUACUGGUGCCAAUGUUCGAUCCUUGAUGCACACCCUUGACAUUACUUGCAGGCUUCUACUCAUAACAAUAAGAGAAGCAGACAAUUAAACCCAUGGUACGAGGAGCUUCUAUGGUAGUCAGCGACCCAUAUCCGAGCUAAUUAUUCAUGAGAUUUGGUAGUUUCUAACCACAUAAGCAAUAACGGGGUUCGCCUCCAAACGGAGGAGCAUGUAUUCAGGAGAUCCGCAAGUUCCUUGUCUUCUUUCCAGAUGUCUUACAGUUAGUACGGCGGGCAGAUAAUGGAGUCGCCCAUUGCGUGACUCGCAUGGCCCUUAAAUAUUUCCUCGGAAUAUUGCCG
This 1209-nucleotide long non-coding RNA is filed under the name Linum usitatissimum (flax). Its description in RNAcentral is "long non-coding RNA (LUSI_LNC002674)". Lineage: Eukaryota; Viridiplantae; Streptophyta; Magnoliopsida; Malpighiales; Linaceae. The record is from RNAcentral.